This is a non-coding RNA of Candidatus Wildermuthbacteria bacterium, 316 nucleotides long. Lineage: Bacteria; Candidatus Wildermuthiibacteriota. The record is from Rfam.
UAGCCAGAGAGUUUGAUCCUGGCUCAGGAUGAACGCUGGCGGCGUGGAUAAGGCAUGCAAGUCGUGCGGGCUUCGACGCAAGUCGAGGUCAGCGGCAAACGAGUUCAUAACACGUAGGUACCUCCCCUUCAGACAGGAAUAACCAGCCGAAAGGUUGGCUAAUGCCUGAUGGCCCCGCAAGGGUAAAGCAGCAAUGCGCUGGAGGAAGGGCCUGCGGCCUAUCAGCUUGUUGGUGAGGUAAUGGCUCACCAAGGCUAUGACGGGUAGGGGGCGUGAGAGCGCGUUCCCCAACGAUGGGACUGAGACACGGCCCAUA